Molecule: ribosomal RNA, 253 nt
Filed under: uncultured bacterium
Lineage: Bacteria
Description: partial 16S ribosomal RNA
Rfam family: Bacterial small subunit ribosomal RNA
Source: RNAcentral
UACAGAGGGUGCGAGCGUUAAUCGGAAUUACUGGGCGUAAAGCGUGCGUAGACGGUUAUUUAAGUCGGAUGUGAAAGCCCCGGGCUCAACCUGGGAAUUGCAUUCGAGACUGAAUAGCUAGGGUGCGGUAGAGGGAAGCGGAAUUUCCGGUGUAGCGGUGAAAUGCGUAGAUAUCGGAAGGAACAUCAGUGGCGAAGGCGGCUCUCUGGGCCCUACCUGACGCUGAGACGCGAAAGCGUGGGGAGCGAACCGG